GACGGAGGAUGCAAGCGUUAUCCGGAAUUAUUGGGCGUAAAGCGUACGUAGGCUGUUUCAUAAGUCUGUUGUCAAAGCGCGAGGCUCAACCUUGUAAAGGCAAUGGAAACUGCGAGACUAGAGAGAGAUAGGGGCAGGAGGAAUUCCAGGUGUAGCGGUGAAAUGCGUAGAUAUCUGGAAGAACACCAGUGGCGAAAGCGUCCUGCUGGAUCUCAACUGACGCUGAAGUACGAAAGCUAGGGGAGCGAAUGGG
Molecule: ribosomal RNA, 253 nt
Filed under: uncultured bacterium
Lineage: Bacteria
Description: partial 16S ribosomal RNA
Rfam family: Bacterial small subunit ribosomal RNA
Source: RNAcentral